RNAcentral lists this ribosomal RNA (106 nucleotides) under Nannospalax galili (Upper Galilee mountains blind mole rat). Lineage: Eukaryota; Metazoa; Chordata; Mammalia; Rodentia; Spalacidae. The record is from RNAcentral.
GCCUACAGCCAUACCACCCUAAAUGUGCCUGAUCUCAUCUGAUCUUGGAAGCAAGGCACGGUUGGGCCCGGUUAGUACCAGGAUUUGAGAGAUGGCUCAGCAGCUA